RNAcentral lists this unclassified non-coding RNA (254 nucleotides) under Hevea brasiliensis (rubber tree). Lineage: Eukaryota; Viridiplantae; Streptophyta; Magnoliopsida; Malpighiales; Euphorbiaceae. The record is from RNAcentral.
UCAGUUUGCUGGAGGAUUUGAUGCUGAAAGCAUGAAGGCGUUUGAAGAACUAAGGAGUCGCGUUCAGUCACAAACAGGAGGAGAGAAUACACAAGAACCAUGAGAAUAUUUGUAUUUUGGUUUUGGUCACUGUAUAUUUCAUCAUUUUCUCCAAGUAUAGCAAAACAUAUUCUAUCUUGGACAUUUGUACAAUUCGAAAGGUUAAACUCAAGGAGAAUGUCAGAUAACACAGAUUAGUUAAAAAGAAGUUGCAG